GAUGAAGAACGUAGCGAAAUGCGAUAAGUAAUGUGAAUUGCAGAAUUCAGUGAAUCAUCGAAUCUUUGAACGCACAUUGCGCCCCUUGGUAUUCCGAGGGGCAUGCCUGUUCGAGCGUCAUUUUGACCACUCCCGCUUGCGGGGUCUUGGGCCUUCGCCUCUGGGCGGGCCUUAAAAUCAGUGGCGGUGCCGUCCGGCUCUAAGCGUAGUAAUUCUUCUCGCUCUGGAGGUCCGGUCGUGUGCUCGCCAGCAACCCCCAAUUUUUUUCAGGUUGACCUCGGAUCAGGUAGGGAUACCCGCUGAACUUAAGCAUAUCAAUAAGCGGAGGA
RNAcentral lists this unclassified non-coding RNA (329 nucleotides) under soil metagenome. Its description in RNAcentral is "partial contains 5.8S ribosomal RNA, internal transcribed spacer 2, and large subunit ribosomal RNA". The stretch from base 1 to 120 matches the Rfam family "5.8S ribosomal RNA", at positions 35 to 154 of the family's 154-position model. The record is from RNAcentral.